This 314-nucleotide unclassified non-coding RNA is filed under the name plant metagenome. RNAcentral describes it as "partial contains 5.8S ribosomal RNA, internal transcribed spacer 2, and large subunit ribosomal RNA". The stretch from base 1 to 105 matches the Rfam family "5.8S ribosomal RNA", at positions 50 to 154 of the family's 154-position model. The record is from RNAcentral.
GAAAUGCGAUAAUUAAUGUGAAUUGCAGAAUUCAGUGAAUCAUCGAGUCUUUGAACGCACAUUGCGCCCCCUGGUAUUCCGGGGGGCAUGCCUGUCCGAGCGUCAUUGCUGCCCUCAAGCACGGCUUGUGUGUUGGGCUUCCGUCCCUGGCAACGGGGACGGGCCCAAAAGGCAGUGGCGGCACCAUGUCUGGUCCUCGAGCGUAUGGGGCUUUGUCACCCGCUCCCGUAGGUCCAGCUGGCAGCUAUCCUCGCAACCAAUCUUUUUAACCAGGUUGACCUCGGAUCAGGUAGGGAUACCCGCUGAACUUAAGC